AGCGUACACGGUGGAUGCCCUGGCAGUCAGAGGCGAUGAAGGACGUGCUAAUCUGCGAAAAGCGUCGGUAAGGUGAUAUGAACCGUUACAGCCGGCGAUGUCCGAAUGGGGAAACCCAGUGUGAUUCGUCACACUAUCGUUAACUGAAUACAUAGGUUAACGAGGCGAACCGGGGGAACUGAAACAUCUAAGUACCCCGAGGAAAAGAAAUCAACCGAGAUUCCCCCAGUAGCGGCGAGCGAACGGGGAGCAGCCCAGAGUCUGAAUCAGCUUGUGUGUUAGUGGAACGGUCUGGAAAGUCCGACGGUACAGGGUGAUAGUCCCGUACACCAAAAUGCACAGGCUGUGAACUCGAAGAGUAGGGCGGGACACGUGGUAUCCUGUCUGAAUAUGGGGGGACCAUCCUCCAAGGCUAAAUACUCCUGACUGACCGAUAGUGAACCAGUACCGUGAGGGAAAGGCGAAAAGAACCCCGGCGAGGGGAGUGAAAAAGAACCUGAAACCGUGUACGUACAAGCAGUGGGAGCACCCUUUAGGGUGUGACUGCGUACCUUUUGUAUAAUGGGUCAGCGACUUAUAUUCUGUAGCAAGGUUAACCGUAUAGGGGAGCCGCAGGGAAACCGAGUCUUAACUGGGCGUUAAGUUGCAGGGUAUAGACCCGAAACCCGGUGAUCUAGCCAUGGGCAGGUUGAAGGUUGGGUAACACUAACUGGAGGACCGAACCGACUAAUGUUGAAAAAUUAGCGGAUGACUUGUGGCUGGGGGUGAAAGGCCAAUCAAACCGGGAGAUAGCUGGUUCUCCCCGAAAGCUAUUUAGGUAGCGCCUCGUGAAUUCAUCUUCGGGGGUAGAGCACUGUUUCGGCUAGGGGGUCAUCCCGACUUACCAACCCGAUGCAAACUACGAAUACCGAAGAAUGUUAUCACGGGAGACACACGGCGGGUGCUAACGUCCGUCGUGAAGAGGGAAACAACCCAGACCGCCAGCUAAGGUCCCAAAGUCACAGUUAAGUGGGAAACGAUGUGGGAAGGCACAGACAGCCAGGAUGUUGGCUUAGAAGCAGCCAUCAUUUAAAGAAAGCGUAAUAGCUCACUGGUCGAGUCGGCCUGCGCGGAAGAUGUAACGGGGCUAAACUGUGCACCGAAGCUGCGGCAGCGACACUAUGUGUUGUUGGGUAGGGGAGCGUUCUGUAAGCCUGCGAAGGUGGCCUGUGAGGGUUGCUGGAGGUAUCAGAAGUGCGAAUGCUGACAUAAGUAACGAUAAUGCGGGUGAAAAGCCCGCACGCCGGAAGACCAAGGGUUCCUGUCCAACGUUAAUCGGGGCAGGGUGAGUCGACCCCUAAGGCGAGGCCGAAAGGCGUAGUCGAUGGGAAACAGGUUAAUAUUCCUGUACUUGGUGUUACUGCGAAGGGGGGACGGAGAAGGCUAUGUUAGCCGGGCGACGGUUGUCCCGGUUUAAGCAUGUAGGCGGAGGUUCCAGGUAAAUCCGGUACCUUUUAACGCUGAGGUGUGAUGACGAGGCACUACGGUGCUGAAGUAACAAAUGCCCUGCUUCCAGGAAAAGCCUCUAAGCAUCAGGUAACAUUGAAUCGUACCCCAAACCGACACAGGUGGUCAGGUAGAGAAUACCAAGGCGCUUGAGAGAACUCGGGUGAAGGAACUAGGCAAAAUGGUGCCGUAACUUCGGGAGAAGGCACGCUGAUAUGUAGGUGAAGCCCCUGCGGGUGGAGCUGAAAUCAGUCGAAGAUACCAGCUGGCUGCAACUGUUUAUUAAAAACACAGCACUGUGCAAACACGAAAGUGGACGUAUACGGUGUGACGCCUGCCCGGUGCCGGAAGGUUAAUUGAUGGGGUUAUCCGUAAGGAGAAGCUCUUGAUCGAAGCCCCGGUAAACGGCGGCCGUAACUAUAACGGUCCUAAGGUAGCGAAAUUCCUUGUCGGGUAAGUUCCGACCUGCACGAAUGGCGUAAUGAUGGCCAGGCUGUCUCCACCCGAGACUCAGUGAAAUUGAACUCGCUGUGAAGAUGCAGUGUACCCGCGGCAAGACGGAAAGACCCCGUGAACCUUUACUAUAGCUUGACACUGAACAUUGAGCCUUGAUGUGUAGGAUAGGUGGGAGGCUUUGAAGCGUGGACGCCAGUCUGCGUGGAGCCAACCUUGAAAUACCACCCUUUAAUGUUUGAUGUUCUAACGUUGGCCCCUGACCGGGGUUGCGGACAGUGUCUGGUGGGUAGUUUGACUGGGGCGGUCUCCUCCCAAAGAGUAACGGAGGAGCACGAAGGUUAGCUAAUCCUGGUCGGACAUCAGGAGGUUAGUGCAAUGGCAUAAGCUAGCUUGACUGCGAGCGUGACGGCGCGAGCAGGUGCGAAAGCAGGUCAUAGUGAUCCGGUGGUUCUGAAUGGAAGGGCCAUCGCUCAACGGAUAAAAGGUACUCCGGGGAUAACAGGCUGAUACCGCCCAAGAGUUCAUAUCGACGGCGGUGUUUGGCACCUCGAUGUCGGCUCAUCACAUCCUGGGGCUGAAGUAGGUCCCAAGGGUAUGGCUGUUCGCCAUUUAAAGUGGUACGCGAGCUGGGUUUAGAACGUCGUGAGACAGUUCGGUCCCUAUCUGCCGUGGGCGCUGGAGAAUUGAGGGGGGCUGCUCCUAGUACGAGAGGACCGGAGUGGACGCAUCACUGGUGUUCGGGUUGUCAUGCCAAUGGCAUUGCCCGGUAGCUAAAUGCGGAAGAGAUAAGUGCUGAAAGCAUCUAAGCACGAAACUUGCCCCGAGAUGAGUUCU
RNAcentral lists this ribosomal RNA (2775 nucleotides) under Klebsiella aerogenes. RNAcentral describes it as "bacterial LSU rRNA". It matches the Rfam family "Bacterial large subunit ribosomal RNA". Lineage: Bacteria; Pseudomonadati; Pseudomonadota; Gammaproteobacteria; Enterobacterales; Enterobacteriaceae. The record is from RNAcentral.